AUGUCAUGUUAUUCCAAGACGUUCUCACUUUGCCACCACCUUCAUCCACCCCCCGCUUGCCAUCUUGAAGGAGGGCUGUGGAGCGGCCGGGGAGGCGGGCUGCGGUGCCACCGUGGUCUGGGGGGCUGCAUCGCUGCCCUGCCCCCUGGGCGAGUGGAGGGGUGGGCACUGAGCCGGGAGCCCGGCUUCGAGCUCCGUGGGGCACCGAGCCUGGCCACGCUUCCUUGGCACGCUUCCCUAUGCAAAACGGGGAGGGGCUGUGCUCCCCAAGCCCCGCUGCCAUCAGACUUGCCGCAGAAGAACACAAAACCAAACAGGCUCUCGGGCUGCACCACGAGACACUUCAGGGAGCCAGAGGGGACACCAGGUGCUGUCCUGCAGGAAACGGAAUUCCCCACACACGGUUCAACGGGACAGAGGAAUGGAGGGGCUGCUGACAGAGGUGGGUGGCAUCUGGGGGACCGGAAAGGAUCACGAGGCUCUGCGAUGACAGGCGAUGCUGGCAUCCCACACCUAAGGAGGCAGGGGCACACAGAGGAGAGCUGGAGGAAAGAGGGGCUGCCUCCCAAGAGCGCAGUCACAGAGGGAGGGGGCCAUUCCCGGGGCCACAGCAUCACGGCGGGGAGAAGCAAAGGAGAAAAAGACCCAUCUUUCUCCUCCCACCUUCCCUUCUCAUUCUGGUACCUUCCAUCGGCCAAGCCCAGGCUGCAGCCAGAAGCCCCAGCAGCCCCGAGAGGUCCCCCUCCUGGGGCACAGAGAAGGGCAGAGAGGGUUUUGCAGGGUGCAGGGUGGGUAGGAAGCAAGCAGAGAGCACCCAGCUACUCAGGCAGCCCGGCAACCUCCCAGCAACUCCACACCCCCGCCUGCCCCUCUCCACUCCGCGGGGUUCGGGGGGGGGGGUGCCCGUGCCCCACACAGGCGUCGGAAGCCGGGCUUGCAGCCCCAUCUCUGCCACAAGCUCAAAGGACACCGGCAGGAAGUCACCUCCCCGCCCCGGGCCCUGGUCUCCGCAUCUGCAAACCCUACAGGCUACAGGAGCCAUCCCUCUGCAGGCCUGACCUGAGAUGUUCCUUGCCCUGCCUCUUCUAG
This 1089-nucleotide long non-coding RNA is filed under the name Canis lupus familiaris (dog). RNAcentral's name for it is "lncRNA (ENSCAFG00030007828.1)". Lineage: Eukaryota; Metazoa; Chordata; Mammalia; Carnivora; Canidae. The record is from RNAcentral.